UGUAGAACGAGCCAACGAGUUACGGUAUGUAGCAAGGUUAAGUACUUAAGGUACGGAGCCGAAGGGAAACCGAGUCUUAAUAGGGCGACUAGUUGCAUGCCGUAGACCCGAAACCGGGUGACCUAUCCAUGGCCAGGUUGAAGCGGGGGUAAAACCCCGUGGAGGACCGAACCACGUUGCUGUUGAAAAAGCAUGGGAUGAGCUGUGGAUAGCGGAGAAAUUCCAAUCGAACUCGGAGAUAGCUGGUUCUCCUCGAAAUAGCUUUAGGGCUAGCGUCGGAUAUGAGUAGUGGAGGUAGAGCACUGAAUGGGCUAGGGGGCAUAGCGCUUACCGAACCUUAUCAAACUCCGAAUGCCACAUACUAUUAGUCCGGCAGUCAGACUGCGAAAGAUAAGUUCCGUAGUCAAAAGGGAAACAGCCCAGAUCGUCAGCUAAGGUCCCAAAGUGUAAGUUAAGUGGAAAAGGAUGUGGGAUUUCUAAGACAACUAGGAUGUUGGCUUAGAAGCAGCCACUCAUUAAAAGAGUGCGUAAUAGCUCACUAGUCGAGAGAUCCUGCGCCGAAGAUGUCCGGGGCUCAAACUUACCACCGAAGCUACGGGUUCACACUUAUGUGUGAGCGGUAGAGGAGCGUCGUAAUCGGGCUGAAGUCGUACCGUAAGGAGCGGUGGACUGAUUACGAGUGAGAAUGUUGGCAUUAGUAGCGAGAUGUGGGUGAGAAUCCCACAGGCCGAAUAUCUAAGGUUUCCUCAGGAAGGUUCGUCCGCUGAGGGUUAGUCGGGACCUAAGCCGAGGCCGAAAGGCGUAGGCGAUGGACAAUCGGUUGAUAUUCCGAUACCACUACUGAUCGUUAUUAUCGAUGGUGUGACGGAGAAGGAUAGAGUGUGCUAGCUAUUGGAUGCUAGUCUAAGCGUUUAGGGAGUUAGGAAAGGCAAAUCCGUCCUAACAAUUCUGAGGCGUGAUGGGGAAGGUUCUACGGAACCGAAGUACUUGAUUCCAUGCUUCCAAGAAAAGCAUCUAGAGAGAGAUGUAGUGCCCGUACCGCAAACCGACACAGGUAGAUGAGGAGAGAAUCCUAAGGCCGGCGGAAGAAUCACAGUUAAGGAACUAGGCAAAUUGACCCCGUAACUUAGGGAGAAGGGGUGCCUGUGAGAGCAGGCCGCAGAGAAUAGGCCCAAGCAACUGUUUAGCAAAAACACAGGUCUCUGCUAAAGCGAAAGCUGAUGUAUAGGGGCUGACGCCUGCCCGGUGCUGGAAGGUUAAGGGGAACACUUAGCGCAAGCGAAGGUGUGAACUUAAGCCCCAGUAAACGGCGGCCGUAACUAUAACGGUCCUAAGGUAGCGAAAUUCCUUGUCAGGUAAGUUCU
RNAcentral lists this ribosomal RNA (1364 nucleotides) under human gut metagenome. Its description in RNAcentral is "bacterial LSU rRNA". It matches the Rfam family "Bacterial large subunit ribosomal RNA", at positions 609 to 1984 of the family's 2925-position model. The record is from RNAcentral.